Molecule: non-coding RNA, 70 nt
Organism: Podarcis lilfordi (Lilford's wall lizard)
Lineage: Eukaryota; Metazoa; Chordata; Lepidosauria; Squamata; Lacertidae
Source: the annotation of a GenBank genome assembly
GGUCCUAGCUCAGCGGUAGAGCAUCUGCCUUGCAAGCAGAAAGUCCCAGGUUCAAUAUCUCGCAGCAUCU